GAUGAACGCUGGCGGUAUGCUUAACACAUGCAAGUCGAACGGACUCUUCGGAGUUAGUGGCGGACGGGUGAGUAACGCGUGAGAAUCUGGCUUUGGGUUCGGGACAACCACUGGAAACGGUGGCUAAUACCGGAUAUGCCGAGAGGUAAAAGAGAAAUUGCCUGAAGAUGAGCUCGCGUCUGAUUAGCUAGUUGGUGAGGUAAAGGCUCACCAAGGCAGCGAUCAGUAGCUGGUCUGAGAGGAUGACCAGCCACACUGGGACUGAGACACGGCCCAGACUCCUACGGGAGGCAGCAGUGGGGAAUUUUCCGCAAUGGGCGAAAGCCUGACGGAGCAAUACCGCGUGAGGGAAGAAGGCUCUUGGGUUGUAAACCUCUUUUCUUAGGGAAGAACAAAAUGACGGUACCUAAGGAAUCAGCAUCGGCUAACUCCGUG
This 435-nucleotide ribosomal RNA is filed under the name uncultured bacterium. Its description in RNAcentral is "partial 16S ribosomal RNA". It matches the Rfam family "Bacterial small subunit ribosomal RNA", at positions 28 to 507 of the family's 1533-position model. The record is from RNAcentral.